UACAGAGGCCCCAAGCAUUACCCGGAAUCACUGGGCGUAAAGGGUGCGUAGGCGGUUUGGUAAGUCUGAUGUGAAAUCUAUGGGCUCAACUCAUAGUCUGCAUCGGAAACUGCCGGGCUUGAGUGUGGGAGAGGUGAGUGGAAUUCCUGGUGUAGCGGUGAAAUGCGUAGAUAUCAGGAGGAACACCUGUGGCGAAAGCGGCUCACUGGACCAUAACUGACGCUGAUGCACGAAAGCUAGGGGAGCAAACAGG
This 253-nucleotide ribosomal RNA is filed under the name uncultured bacterium. RNAcentral describes it as "partial 16S ribosomal RNA". It matches the Rfam family "Bacterial small subunit ribosomal RNA", at positions 524 to 776 of the family's 1533-position model. The record is from RNAcentral.